GGAUGUGAGGGUGAUCUAGGUACUACAUCUGUUACCCCAGUGAUUGCCAGGGUUGAUUCAGCUCAUGUGGCUGGCUAGGUAGUGUCCCCUUCCUCCCUCACCACUCCAUAUGCAUCCCUCCUGAAGCUGCGCACUUGGUCAAAGAGGACCAUCCCCGAUAGAGGAGGUCCAUUCUUCAGUCAAGGGUAUACAAGUAACUGUGCUCCACUGCUAGAACCUCCAAACAAGCUCUCAGAAAGCUUAAUUUGUAGAAAUAAUGUUGAAUGGUUUAGCCAAUACAAAGACUCAUGUACAUUUAGAAAAUGUAUUCAU
Molecule: small nuclear RNA, 312 nt
Filed under: Castor canadensis (American beaver)
Lineage: Eukaryota; Metazoa; Chordata; Mammalia; Rodentia; Castoridae
Description: 7SK RNA (ENSCCNG00000029369.1)
Rfam family: 7SK RNA
About the family: 7SK was discovered as an abundant small nuclear RNA in the mid-70s but a possible function has only recently been suggested. Two independent studies have found that 7SK RNA binds the CDK9/cyclin T complex (known as elongation factor P-TEFb).
Source: Rfam by way of RNAcentral